UACGUAGGGACCGAGCGUUGUCCGGAAUCAUUGGGCGUAAAGCGCGUGUAGGCGGUUCAGUAAGUCUGCUGUGAAAGUCCAGGGCUCAACCCUGGGAUGCCGGUGGAUACUGCUGGACUAGAGUGCGGAAGAGGCGAGUGGAAUUCCCGGUGUAGCGGUGAAAUGCGCGGAUAUCGGGAGGAACACCAAUUGCGAAGGCAGCUCGCUGGGACGUUACUGACGCUGAGACGCGAAAGCGUGGGGAGCAAACAGG
Molecule: ribosomal RNA, 253 nt
Filed under: uncultured bacterium
Lineage: Bacteria
Description: partial 16S ribosomal RNA
Rfam family: Bacterial small subunit ribosomal RNA
Source: RNAcentral